RNAcentral lists this ribosomal RNA (240 nucleotides) under uncultured bacterium. RNAcentral describes it as "partial 16S ribosomal RNA". It matches the Rfam family "Bacterial small subunit ribosomal RNA", at positions 15 to 235 of the family's 1533-position model. The record is from RNAcentral.
GAUCCUCGCUCAGGAUGAACGCUGGCGGCGUGCUUAACACAUGCAAGUCGAACGAAGCGAUGGAGAACGGAGAUUUCGGUUGAAGUUUUCUAUUGACUGAGUGGCGGACGGGUGAGUAACGCGUGGGUAACCUGCCCUAUACAGGGGGAUAACAGUUAGAAAUGACUGCUAAUACCGCAUAAGCGCACAGCUUCGCAUGAAGUGGUGUGAAGAACUGAGGUGGUAUAGGAUGGACCCGCG